RNAcentral lists this ribosomal RNA (1002 nucleotides) under uncultured bacterium. Its description in RNAcentral is "bacterial SSU rRNA". It matches the Rfam family "Bacterial small subunit ribosomal RNA", at positions 44 to 1037 of the family's 1533-position model. The record is from RNAcentral.
GUGCUUACACAUGCAAGUCGAACGGAAACGAUACUAGCUUGCUAGUAGGCGUCGAGUGGCGGACGGGUGAGUAACGCGUAGGAAUCUGCCUGAUAGUGGGGGAUAGCCCGAAGAAAUUCGGAUUAAUACCGCAUAAUCUAUUCGUAGUAAAGUGGGGGACUUUCGAGCCUCACGCUAUCAGAUGAGCCUGCGUAAGAUUAGCUUGUUGGUAGGGUAAAAGCCUACCAAGGCGACGAUCUUUAGCUGGUCUGAGAGGAUGAUCAGCCACAUCGGGACUGAGACACGGCCCGAACUCCUACGGGAGGCAGCAGUGGGGAAUAUUGGACAAUGGGGGCAACCCUGAUCCAGCAAUACCGCGUGUGUGAAGAAGGCCUGAGGGUUGUAAAGCACUUUCAAUUGUGAAGAAAAGUUAGCGGUUAAUAACCGUUAGCCUUGACGUUAACUUUAGAAGAAGCACCGGCUAACUCCGUGCCAGCAGCCGCGGUAAUACGGAGGGUGCAAGCGUUAAUCGGAAUUACUGGGCGUAAAGCGUGCGUAGGCGGUUUAUUAAGUCAGAUGUGAAAGCCCCGGGCUUAACCUGGGAACUGCAUUUGAAACUGGUCAACUAGAGUAUGGUAGAGGAAAGUGGAAUUUCUGGUGUAGCGGUGAAAUGCGUAGAUAUCAGAAGGAACAUCAAUGGCGAAGGCAGCUUUCUGGACCAAUACUGACGCUGAGGUACGAAAGCGUGGGUAGCAAACAGGAUUAGAUACCCUGGUAGUCCACGCCGUAAACGAUGAUAACUAGCCGUUGGGGGGGAUUUACCCUUUAGUGGCGAAGCUAACGCGUUAAGUUAUCCGCCUGGGGAGUACGGCCGCAAGGUUAAAACUCAAAGGAAUUGACGGGGACCCGCACAAGCGGUGGAGCAUGUGGUUUAAUUCGAUGCAACGCGAAGAACCUUACCUGGUCUUGACAUCCUGCGAACUUUCUAGAAAUAGAUUGGUGCCUUCGGGAACGCAGUGACAG